Molecule: long non-coding RNA, 894 nt
Filed under: Brassica napus (rape)
Lineage: Eukaryota; Viridiplantae; Streptophyta; Magnoliopsida; Brassicales; Brassicaceae
Description: long non-coding RNA (BNAP_LNC014654)
Source: RNAcentral
UUAAUGUUUUAUCAAAAGUCACAAAAUUAGGGUUUAGAGUUAAAGGGUGGGGUUUAGGAUUUAGGGUUUAGGGUUUAGAGUUUAGAGUUUAGGGUUUAGGGUUUAGGGUUUAGGGUUUAAGGUUUAGUGUUUAGGGUUUAGAGUUUAGAGUUUAGAGUUUAGGGUUUAGGGUUUAUGGUUUAGUGUUUAGGGUUUAGAGUUUAGGGUUUAGGGUUUAGAGUUGAGAAAUUAGGUUUUGGGGAUAAGAUUUCAAAUUUUGAAAAAUAAAAAAAUUAAAAUUUUCAAAUGAUAAACUUAGAAAGGUGUUAUAUUGGUCAUUUUAGUUUUUGAGUGCUAUUUUGUGAUAUAAACUUAGAAAUGUGUUAUUUUGGAGAUUUGCCCCAAUUAAAAAUAAAAAUAAUUGAAAUUUUAUUUGCAUAUCAUGUUUUUCUGCCAUCUAAAUAUUACCUGUCCACUUCUAAUUUUUUUUCAUAAAUUUGAAGCUAAGUUAAUUUUAACAAAAAAAUAAAUCAAUUGUGAAAGAAAUGAUUUUAACAAAAAAAAUAAAUAAACAGACUUUUUAGUUUUCAGAUCCUAAAUUUUCUCAAAUCCCACGAUCACUUUAACGUCAUAUGUAACUUCCAAAUUAUGGCACACAAAAUCAAACAGUUUAUUAUAUAUAUAUUUGUUUUUCUUUUCCUUCUUCUCCAUGUUUCAUAUUCUUCCUCUGUUUUUUUUUCUUCCAAUUUGUAGUGUAUCAGCAAAAAUCAAUAGAGUGCGUGACUACUAUAUUUCUGUUCAUUUUUUAUAUUCUGCUCAAAUCUUAUAUCAUUUGAUUUUUUAAGCGUUAUUCAGAUAUAAGAUGUCACUUGGAUAUGAUAUUACCGUUCAAAGCUAAUUUCUUCAAAAGAAAAG